RNAcentral lists this ribosomal RNA (1923 nucleotides) under human gut metagenome. RNAcentral describes it as "bacterial LSU rRNA". It matches the Rfam family "Bacterial large subunit ribosomal RNA", at positions 587 to 2496 of the family's 2925-position model. The record is from RNAcentral.
UUUGGGGUGACUGCGUACCUUUUGUAUAAUGGGUCAGCGACUUAUAUUUUGUAGCGAGGUUAACCGAAUAGGGGAGCCGAAGGGAAACCGAGUCUUAACUGGGCGUCUAGUUGCAAGGUAUAGACCCGAAACCCGGUGAUCUAGCCAUGGGCAGGUUGAAGGUUGGGUAACACUAACUGGAGGACCGAACCGACUAAUGUUGAAAAAUUAGCGGAUGACUUGUGGCUGGGGGUGAAAGGCCAAUCAAACCGGGAGAUAGCUGGUUCUCCCCGAAAUCUAUUUAGGUAGAGCCUUGAGCGGACACCUUCGGGGGUAGAGCACUGUUUCGGCUAGGGGUCCAUCCCGGAUUACCAACCCGAUGCAAACUACGAAUACCGAAGAGUGAUACUCAGGAGACACACGGCGGGUGCUAACGUCCGUCGUGGAGAGGGAAACAACCCAGACCGCCAGCUAAGGUCCCAAAGUCUAUAUUAAGUGGGAAACGAAGUGGGAAGGCUUAGACAGCUAGGAUGUUGGCUUAGAAGCAGCCAUCAUUUAAAGAAAGCGUAAUAGCUCACUAGUCGAGUCGGCCUGCGCGGAAGAUGUAACGGGGCUCAAAUAUAGCACCGAAGCUGCGGCAUCAGUAGCAAUACUGUUGGGUAGGGGAGCGUUCUGUAAGCGGAUGAAGGUGAAUCGAGAGGUUUGCUGGACGUAUCAGAAGUGCGAAUGCUGACAUAAGUAACGAUAAAACGGGUGAAAAACCCGUUCGCCGGAAGACCAAGGGUUCCUGUCCAACGUUAAUCGGGGCAGGGUGAGUCGGCCCCUAAGGCGAGGCUGAAAAGCGUAGUCGAUGGGAAACGGGUUAAUAUUCCCGUACUUGGAUAAACUGCGAUGUGGGGACGGAGCAGGUUAGGUUAUCGCACUGUUGGAUAUGUGCGUUUAAGUUGGUAGGUGUGAAGUUUAGGCAAAUCCGGACUUCUUUAACACCGAGAGAUGAUGACGAGGCUCUACGGAGCUGAAGUAACCGAUACCACACUUCCAGGAAAAGCCACUAAGCUUCAGGUUUAUCUAAACCGUACUGAAAACCGACACAGGUGGUCAGGUAGAGAAUACUCAGGCGCUUGAGAGAACUCGGGUGAAGGAACUAGGCAAAAUAGCACCGUAACUUCGGGAGAAGGUGCGCCGGCGUAGAUUGUAGUCCCUAGCGGGCGAAGGUUGAACCGGUCGAAGAUACCAGCUGGCUGCAACUGUUUAUUAAAAACACAGCACUCUGCAAACACGAAAGUGGACGUAUAGGGUGUGAUGCCUGCCCGGUGCUGGAAGGUUAAUUGAUGGUGUAAUCGAAAGAGAAGCUCCUGAUCGAAGCCCCAGUAAACGGCGGCCGUAACUAUAACGGUCCUAAGGUAGCGAAAUUCCUUGUCGGGUAAGUUCCGACCUGCACGAAUGGCAUAAUGAUGGCCAGGCUGUCUCCACCCGAGACUCAGUGAAAUUGAAAUCGCCGUGAAGAUGCGGUGUACCCGCGGCUAGACGGAAAGACCCCGUGAACCUUUACUAUAGCUUGACACUGAACAUUGAAUUUUGAUGUGUAGGAUAGGUGGGAGCCUUUGAAGCAGUCACGCCAGUGAUUGUGGAGGCGUCCUUGAAAUACCACCCUUUAACGUUUGAUGUUCUAACGAAGAUUACGAAACGUGGUCUCGGACAGUGUCUGGUGGGUAGUUUGACUGGGGCGGUCUCCUCCCAAAGAGUAACGGAGGAGCACGAAGGUUUGCUAAUGACGGUCGGACAUCGUCAGGUUAGUGCAAUGGUAUAAGCAAGCUUAACUGCGAGACAGACAAGUCGAGCAGGUACGAAAGUAGGUCAUAGUGAUCCGGUGGUUCUGAAUGGAAGGGCCAUCGCUCAACGGAUAAAAGGUACUCCGGGGAUAACAGGCUGAUACCGCCCAAG